UACGUAGGGCGCAAGCGUUGUCCGGAAUUAUUGGGCGUAAAGAGCUCGUAGGCGGUCUGUCGCGUCUGCUGUGAAAACUCAGGGCUUAACCCUGAGCUUGCAGUGGGUACGGGCAGACUAGAGUGCGGUAGGGGAGACUGGAAUUCCUGGUGUAGCGGUGAAAUGCGCAGAUAUCAGGAGGAACACCGGUGGCGAAGGCGGUUCUCUGGGCAUUACCUGACGGCUGAGGAGCGAAAGUGUGGGGAGCGAACAGGA
Molecule: ribosomal RNA, 255 nt
Filed under: uncultured bacterium
Lineage: Bacteria
Description: partial 16S ribosomal RNA
Rfam family: Bacterial small subunit ribosomal RNA
Source: RNAcentral